UGCUGGAGUGGAAGCGACGCCCGUCAGGUGACGCCAGCGGCAGCCAUCUUGCCGGAGGCAGAAAGCGCGCUGCCGGUGUGUCGCCUCCACGCUUCGUUGCUGGUGCACGCUGUUCUCUUCAAAGUUUUCAAUGAGUGCAAGUCUUGCUCUUGGAUAAUGGUUACCUCUUGCGUUGCCUACGGAUGCACAAACAGGCUGAAGAAAGGUUGUGGCCUCACAUUUCACCUGUUUCCAAAGAAUGCAGAAGUUCGGAGUCUUUGGGAGCGGGCAGUUCGCCGUGAAGGGUAGCGCGCUAAGGAUGGAGACCGCCUGUGCUCUGUACAUUUCACUCCUGAGUGCUUUGACCACACUGGGCAAACGACGCGACUGCGGGUGGGAAGUGUGCCCACGUCGUUUCCAGCUUUUCCGCCUCAUCUGCAGAAACCUGUCAAACAGAAGCGUCCCGACCCCAAGUCUCGAGAUUUCCCGGCCCCGCUUGGUCCUGAGUGUUCUGGGUUGUGCGACCUGCCUGGAGCUGAAUAUUUUCCUGAAGACUCGCCAACCAAACAGUUCUACAAAGACAAGGUCCUUUCCUCACAAGAAGAGAUAACCCAGUUGAAGAAGAAGGUCAAAAGACUGCAGCAAACUAAACGAAGGCUGGUCAAGAGAAAUGAAACCGCCCAAGAAAUCAUCAAAGAAAUCAGAGAGCGAAAACUCUUGUCAGAAGAAGGCUCGCAUGUGUUUUCAUCUGUUUUCUCGGAUGACAUUCAGCAACUACUGUGCAGGGUGGGCAAUGAGCAGAAGGGCAAGUACCCACCUGAGCUGCGAGCA
Rhipicephalus microplus (southern cattle tick) is the source of this 810-nucleotide long non-coding RNA. RefSeq lists it as uncharacterized. The record is from RefSeq and is a predicted model, not a curated record. NCBI's taxonomy places the organism in Eukaryota, Metazoa, Arthropoda, Arachnida, Ixodida, Ixodidae.